Molecule: transfer RNA, 63 nt
Filed under: Salmo salar (Atlantic salmon)
Lineage: Eukaryota; Metazoa; Chordata; Actinopteri; Salmoniformes; Salmonidae
Rfam family: tRNA
About the family: Transfer RNA (tRNA) molecules are approximately 80 nucleotides in length. Their secondary structure includes four short double-helical elements and three loops (D, anti-codon, and T loops). Further hydrogen bonds mediate the characteristic L-shaped molecular structure. tRNAs have two regions of fundamental functional importance: the anti-codon, which is responsible for specific mRNA codon recognition, and the 3' end, to which the tRNAs corresponding amino acid is attached (by aminoacyl-tRNA synthetases). tRNAs cope with the degeneracy of the genetic code in two manners: having more than one tRNA (with a specific anti-codon) for a particular amino acid; and 'wobble' base-pairing, i.e. permitting non-standard base-pairing at the 3rd anti-codon position.
Source: Rfam by way of RNAcentral
UAGCUCAGUUGGUAGAGUAGAGCAUGGUGUUUGCAACGCCAGGAUUGUGGGUUCGAUUCCCAC